GACGAACGCUGGCGGCGUGCUUAACACAUGCAAGUCGAACGGUGAAGCUCCAGCUUGCUGGAGUGGAUCAGUGGCGAACGGGUGAGUAACACGUGAGCAACCUGCCCCUGACUCUGGAAUAAGCGCUGGAAACGGCGUCUAAUACUGGAUACGAGAAGGGUCCGCAUGGGCACUUUCUGGAAAGUUUUUCGGUCGGGGAUGGGCUCGCGGCCUAUCAGCUUGUUGGUGAGGUAAUGGCUCACCAAGGCGACGACGGGUAGCCGGCCUGAGAGGGCGACCGGCCACACUGGGACUGAGACACGGCCCAGACUCCUACGGGAGGCAGCAGUGGGGAAUAUUGCACAAUGGGCGAAAGCCUGAUGCAGCGACGCCGCGUGAGGGAUGACGGCCUUCGGGUUGUAAACCUCUUUCAGCAGGGAAGAAGCGAAAGUGACGGUACCUGCAGAAGAAGCACCGGCUAACUACGUG
RNAcentral lists this ribosomal RNA (468 nucleotides) under uncultured bacterium. RNAcentral's name for it is "partial 16S ribosomal RNA". It matches the Rfam family "Bacterial small subunit ribosomal RNA", at positions 28 to 507 of the family's 1533-position model. The record is from RNAcentral.